GCUCUUAUAGCUUAACUAAAGCAUAGCGUUGAAAACGCUAAAAUGGCCCAUAAAAAGUCCUAAGAACA
RNAcentral lists this transfer RNA (68 nucleotides) under Cornufer vitianus (Fiji ground frog). Its description in RNAcentral is "Platymantis vitianus (Fiji ground frog) tRNA-Phe". It matches the Rfam family "tRNA". Rfam says of the family: Transfer RNA (tRNA) molecules are approximately 80 nucleotides in length. Lineage: Eukaryota; Metazoa; Chordata; Amphibia; Anura; Ceratobatrachidae. The record is from RNAcentral.